Molecule: ribosomal RNA, 449 nt
Filed under: uncultured bacterium
Lineage: Bacteria
Description: partial 16S ribosomal RNA
Rfam family: Bacterial small subunit ribosomal RNA
Source: RNAcentral
AACGAACGCUGGCGGCAUGCCUAACACAUGCAAGUCGAACGAGACCUUCGGGUCUAGUGGCGCACGGGUGCGUAACGCGUGGGAAUCUACCCUUGGGUUCGGAGUAACAGUUAGAAAUGACUGCUAAUACAGGAUGAUGACGUAAGUCAAAAGAUUUAUCGCCCAAGGAUGAGCCCGCGUAAGAUUAGCUUGUUGGUGGGGUAAUGGCCUACCAAGGCGACGAUCUUUAGCUGGUCUGAGAGGAUGAUCAGCCACACUGGGACUGAGACACGGCCCAGACUCCUACGGGAGGCAGCAGUGGGGAAUAUUGGACAAUGGGCGAAAGCCUGAUCCAGCAAUGCCGCGUGAGUGAUGAAGGCCUUAGGGUUGUAAAGCUCUUUUACCAGGGAUGAUAAUGACAGUACCUGGAGAAUAAGCUCCGGCUAACUCCGUGCCAGCCGCCGCAGUAA